This 677-nucleotide ribosomal RNA is filed under the name Paeniglutamicibacter sulfureus. RNAcentral's name for it is "partial 16S ribosomal RNA". Lineage: Bacteria; Bacillati; Actinomycetota; Actinomycetes; Micrococcales; Micrococcaceae. The record is from RNAcentral.
AAKCGGRGGGCASUAGGUGGGGGGGGGCRUUCCWCGUUUUCCGCGCCGUAGCUAACGCAUUAAGUGCCCCGCCUGGGGAGUACGGCCGCAAGGCUAAAACUCAAAGGAAUKGACGGGGGCCCGCACAAGCGGCGGAGCAUGCGGAUUAAUUYGAUGCAACGCGAAGAACCUUACCAAGGCUUGACAUGUGCCAGMCCGCCGUGGAAACACGGUUUCCCCUUUGGGGCUGGUUCACAGGUGGUGCAUGGUUGUCGUCAGCUCGUGUCGUGAGAUGUUGGGUUAAGUCCCGCAACGAGCGCAACCCUCGUUCCAUGUUGCCAGCGCGUAAAGGCGGGGACUCAUGGGAGACUGCCGGGGUCAACUCGGAGGAAGGUGGGGACGACGUCAAAUCAUCAUGCCCCUUAUGUCUUGGGCUUCACGCAUGCUACAAUGGCCGGUACAAUGGGUUGCGAUACUGUGAGGUGGAGCUAAUCCCAAAAAGCCGGUCUCAGUUCGGAUUGGGGUCUGCAACUCGACCCCAUGAAGUCGGAGUCGCUAGUAAUCGCAGAUCAGCAACGCUGCGGUGAAUASGUUCCCGGGCCUUGUACACACCGCCCGUCAAGUCACRAAAGKUGGUAACACCCGAAGCCGGUGGCCUAACCCCUUGUGGGAGGGAGCCGUCGAAGKGGAGCCSGGSU